GUUGCCCCUAGAGGCCUUGCAUGUUUGGCUACUGUGUCAUAUGUGCAUCAGUAUCUGGGAGAGAGUAGAGAAGUUAUGUCUAAACUCAGUGUUCUGACCUGUGAUCAUGUCGAUGAUUAAUAUUAACACU
Molecule: small nucleolar RNA, 130 nt
Organism: Rattus norvegicus (Norway rat)
Lineage: Eukaryota; Metazoa; Chordata; Mammalia; Rodentia; Muridae
Product: small nucleolar RNA SNORA17
Source: Ensembl